This is a non-coding RNA of Podarcis lilfordi (Lilford's wall lizard), 72 nucleotides long. NCBI's taxonomy places the organism in Eukaryota, Metazoa, Chordata, Lepidosauria, Squamata, Lacertidae. The record is from the annotation of a GenBank genome assembly.
UCAUAGCUCAGUCAGUAGAGCAUGAGACUGUCAAUCUCAGAGUUGUGGGCUUGAGCCUCACAUUAGGCAAAA